RNAcentral lists this ribosomal RNA (253 nucleotides) under uncultured bacterium. Its description in RNAcentral is "partial 16S ribosomal RNA". It matches the Rfam family "Bacterial small subunit ribosomal RNA", at positions 524 to 776 of the family's 1533-position model. The record is from RNAcentral.
GACGAACCGUCCGAACGUUAUUCGGAAUCACUGGGCUUAAAGGGUGCGUAGGCGGUGUCGUAAGUCGGGUGUGAAAUCCCUCAGCUUAACUGAGGAAUUGCGCCCGAUACUGCGGUGCUGGAGGGAGACAGGGGUGAGCGGAACUGAUGGUGGAGCGGUGAAAUGUGUUGAUAUCAUCAGGAACACCGGUGGCGAAGGCGGCUCACUGGGUCUCUACUGACGCUGAGGCACGAAAGCUAGGGGAGCAAACGGG